RNAcentral lists this ribosomal RNA (253 nucleotides) under uncultured bacterium. Its description in RNAcentral is "partial 16S ribosomal RNA". It matches the Rfam family "Bacterial small subunit ribosomal RNA", at positions 524 to 776 of the family's 1533-position model. The record is from RNAcentral.
UACGGAGGUGGCAAGCGUUGCUCGGAAUCACUGGGCGUAAAGGGCGCGUAGGCGGGGAGGUAAGUCGGGUGUGAAAUCCCUCGGCCCAACCGAGGAACUGCGCCCGAGACUGCUUCUCUUGAGUCCCGGAGAGGAAGGUGGAAUUCCCGGUGUAGCGGUGAAAUGUGUAGAGAUCGGGAGGAACACCGGUGGCGAAGGCGGCCUUCUAGACGGUGACUGACGCUGAGGCGCGAAAGCGUGGGGAGCAAACGGG